UCCUAAUAGCUUAGUUGGUAAAGAAUCUGCCUGCAAUUCAGGAGACCCUGGUUCGAUUCUUGGGUUGGGAA
Molecule: transfer RNA, 71 nt
Filed under: Bos taurus (domestic cattle)
Lineage: Eukaryota; Metazoa; Chordata; Mammalia; Artiodactyla; Bovidae
Also listed under: 2 other names
Rfam family: tRNA
About the family: Transfer RNA (tRNA) molecules are approximately 80 nucleotides in length. Their secondary structure includes four short double-helical elements and three loops (D, anti-codon, and T loops).
Source: Rfam by way of RNAcentral